AGUCACACCUGUGUGGGUGUGAGUUUUAGGCCACUAGAGGGCAGACAAACUUCACAAGAAGCUAGCUAAAGCGUUAUCACCUUGUCAGCCCUGUUAGCUACAGAAGCUUGUUAGCAAGCAGUUACCUAAGUUAAUUACACUAUCAGCAGACGUGGAGCGACAUUAGCAUUCAUUUGGAAACGUGUUUCUGGCCACCGGGCAAAUGCCGUCCCUAAAGUGCUGACCUGCUGUCCAGCCUUGGCCCUGGAGGAGCACGGAAAGAACAGACCUUUGAAGUGAAACGGAUCUCCAUCAGCCUCAGUGCUUUCACAAAGUAGCAGCUCAAAUCUCUUGAGAUGGAAAGAGACAGCAGAAUCCAAUCCGACAUCAGUAGAACACCACAGUUUUUUUUUCAUCUUUUC
Perca flavescens (yellow perch) is the source of this 401-nucleotide long non-coding RNA. RefSeq lists it as uncharacterized. The record is from RefSeq and is a predicted model, not a curated record. NCBI's taxonomy places the organism in Eukaryota, Metazoa, Chordata, Actinopteri, Perciformes, Percidae. The transcript is spliced from 3 exons.